RNAcentral lists this ribosomal RNA (677 nucleotides) under Phleum alpinum. Its description in RNAcentral is "eukaryotic LSU rRNA". The stretch from base 226 to 381 matches the Rfam family "5.8S ribosomal RNA". The record is from RNAcentral. Lineage: Eukaryota; Viridiplantae; Streptophyta; Magnoliopsida; Poales; Poaceae.
UUGUCGUGACCCUGACCAAAACAGACCGUGAACGCGUUAUCUAUCCUGCCGGCGGCGGCACCGUCCGUCGUUGGCCAAAGUCCUCGAUAACCUCGUCUCCUCGGAGCGGGGGCUCGGGGUAAAAGAACCCACGGCGCCUAAGGCGUCAAGGAACACUAUGCCUAACGCGGGGACACGGCUGGCUUGCUAGCCGUCCCUCAUGUUGCAAUGCUAUUUAAUCCACACGACUCUCGGCAACGGAUAUCUCGGCUCUCGCAUCGAUGAAGAACGUAGCGAAAUGCGAUACCUGGUGUGAAUUGCAGAAUCCCGCGAACCAUCGAGUCUUUGAACGCAAGUUGCGCCCGAGGCCACCUGGCCGAGGGCACGCCUGCCUGGGCGUCACGCCAAACACGCUCCCACCCCCUCAUCGUGAGUGGGAUGCGGCUUCUGGCCCCCCGUCUCGCAAGGGGCGGUGGGCCGAAGAUGCGGCUGCCGGCGUAUCGUGUCGGACACAGCGCGUGGUGGGCGACCUCGCUUUACUUACCGCAGUGCAUCCGGCCUGUUGCCGACGUGAUGGCCUUGAAGGACCCUAUAAACGGAGCGCACGACGCUUCGACCGCGACCCCAGGUCAGGCGGGACUACCCGCUGAGUUUAAGCAUAUAAAUAAGCGGAGGAGAAGAAACUUACAAGGAUUCCC